AAUGAACGCUGGCGGCGUGCCUAACACAUGCAAGUCGGAUGUGCCCGCAAGGGUGCAUGGCAGACGGGUGAGUAACGCGUGGGGAAUCUACCUUUUAGUGGGGAAUAACGCUCCGAAAGGAGUGGUAAUACCGCAUGUGACCAUUGGCUGGGAUGUUGAUGGUGAAACCCUGGGACCUUCGGGCCAGGGGCUAAAAGAGGAUCCUGCGUCUGAUUAGCUAGUUGGCGGGGUAACGGCCCACCAAGGCGACGAUCAGUAGCCGGCCUGAGAGGGUGAUCGGCCACACUGGAACUGAGACACGGUCCAGACUCCUACGGGAGGCAGCAGUGGGGAAUUUUGCGCAAUGGACGAAAGUCUGACGCAGCAACGCCGCGUGGGUGAUGAAGGUCUUCGGAUUGUAAAACCCUGUCGCCAGGGACGAAGGGUGAGGUGUGAAUAGCGCCUUACUUUGACGGUACCUGGAAAGGAAGCCCCGGCUAACUCUGUGCCAGCAGCCGCGGUAAAG
RNAcentral lists this ribosomal RNA (505 nucleotides) under uncultured bacterium. Its description in RNAcentral is "bacterial SSU rRNA". It matches the Rfam family "Bacterial small subunit ribosomal RNA", at positions 29 to 525 of the family's 1533-position model. The record is from RNAcentral.